AUGGAGACCAGACAUCACGUGAAAUGGACACGUUCAAAGGCAGGUCCUGUCUCGGGGGCAGUAGACAUCAGAGGACUACAGAAGGGUCUUCCUCCUCUCAAGCCAGGUGGUCCAUGGGAGAUGAUGAGCAGUACCCUUCUGUCACCAGAAGAUCCCGCAGGAAGCUGCAAGGCUGAAGCAUUUUUGCUAAUCCUUCCAAUGAGUCUAUCUCUCCCAGAAUUAAACAAAAUCUUCCCCCUCCUUCCUUUUUCCGUCCCUCCCACUUCCUCUCUCUCCUAACUCCAUCCCCCACAUGUAUUCAAGGUGACAGAGAUUUAUCUGGAAAAAGCCAACUAAUCAAAGUCAACAGAUGGUGACUCGGAACAGCAGAUCCUAGACAAAGAAGAGACGAGACAGUCCCUUUUUUCCUCUGGCCUUUGGAAACUUGAGAAAAGGAGAAAAUCGCUCCUGUGGGUUGGCGUUUGAUUUUCACAACUUCAUGUUUCUCUCCUUCUUGGCCAGCCCCACCACCUGCCGGUGCCUGCCCUGCCAAAGUUAAGGUCAGCCUGACAGGAAGUGCAGAAAGGAUGUCGACAGAAAAGUUCGAUGGUAGAGCACGCUGUGCUCACAGCCAGAGUUCCC
This 621-nucleotide long non-coding RNA is filed under the name Bos indicus x Bos taurus (hybrid cattle). Its description in RNAcentral is "lncRNA (ENSBIXG00000028586.1)". Lineage: Eukaryota; Metazoa; Chordata; Mammalia; Artiodactyla; Bovidae. The record is from RNAcentral.